Molecule: ribosomal RNA, 420 nt
Filed under: uncultured bacterium
Lineage: Bacteria
Description: bacterial SSU rRNA
Rfam family: Bacterial small subunit ribosomal RNA
Source: RNAcentral
UAAGGAAUAUUGCUCAAUGGGAGAAAUCCUGAAGCAGCAACGCCGCGUGGAGGAUGAAGGGUCUAUGACUUGUAAACUCCUGUAAAGAAGGAAAAAAUUCCCAUUAGAUGGGAGAUGAUGGUACUUCUGGAGUAAGCCCCGGCUAACUACGUGCCAGCAGCCGCGGUAAUACGUAGGGGGCAAGCGUUGUCCGGAUUUACUGGGUGUAAAGGGUGCUCAGGCGGAUUUGUAAGUCGGUGGUGAAAUCUUACAGCUUAACGGUGAAACGGCCUUAGAUACUGCAAGCCUAGAGUAUGGAAGAGAGUGAUGGAAUAUCUGGUGUAGCAGUGAAAUGCGUAGAUAUCAGAUAGAACACCAAUGGCGAAAGCAGUCACUUGGUCCAUUACUGACCCUAAAGCACGAAAGCGUGGGUAGCAAACA